GACGAACGCUGGCGGCAGGCUUAACACAUGCAAGUCGAGCGCAUCCUUCGGGGUGAGUGGCAGACGGGUGAGUAACGCGUGGGAACGUGCCCUUCAGUUCGGGAUAACCCAGGGAAACUUGGGCUAAUACCGGAUACGUGCGAGAGCAGAAAGAUUUAUCGCUGAAGGAUCGGCCCGCGUCUGAUUAGCUAGUUGGUGGGGUAAUGGCCCCCCAAGGCGACGAUCAGUAGCUGGUCUGAGAGGAUGAUCAGCCACAUUGGGACUGAGACACGGCCCAAACUCCUACGGGAGGCAGCAGUGGGGAAUAUUGGACAAUGGGCGCAAGCCUGAUCCAGCCAUGCCGCGUGAGUGAUGAAGGCCUUAGGGUUGUAAAGCUCUUUCGUCCGGGACGAUAAUGACGGUACCGGAAGAAGAAGCCCCGGCUAACUUCGUGCCAGCAGCCGCCGUAA
RNAcentral lists this ribosomal RNA (449 nucleotides) under uncultured bacterium. RNAcentral describes it as "partial 16S ribosomal RNA". It matches the Rfam family "Bacterial small subunit ribosomal RNA", at positions 28 to 523 of the family's 1533-position model. The record is from RNAcentral.